UUGUAUCAUUCCAAUAAUAAUAAAAUUGGAAAGAUACAGAGAAGAUUAGCAUGGUCCCUAGGCCCAAAUGCAAGCAUGCAUGAUAGUGAUGUGUCGUUCGCUUUG
Hippocampus zosterae (dwarf seahorse) is the source of this 105-nucleotide small nuclear RNA. NCBI's taxonomy places the organism in Eukaryota, Metazoa, Chordata, Actinopteri, Syngnathiformes, Syngnathidae. The record is from RefSeq and is a predicted model, not a curated record.